GGCCAGACUCCUACGGGAGGCAGCAGUGGGGGAUAUUGCACAAUGGGGGGAACCCUGAUGCAGCGACGCCGCGUGGGUGAAGAAGUAUUUCGGUAUGUAAAGCCCUAUCGGCAGGGAAGAAAUUGGACGGUACCUGACUAAGAAGCCCCGGCUAACUACGUGCCAGCAGCCGCGGUAAUACGUAGGGGGCAAGCGUUAUCCGGAUUCACUGGGUGUAAAGGGAGCGUAGACGGCCAUGCAAGCCUGGAGUGAAAGCCCGGGGCCCAACCCCGGGACUGCUCUGGGAACUGUGCGGCUGGAGUGCGGGAGGGGCAGGCGGAAUUCCUGGUGUAGCGGUGAAAUGCGUAGAUAUCAGGAGGAACACCGGCGGCGAAGGCGGCCUGCUGGACCGCGACUGACGUUGAGGCUCGAGAGCGUGGGGAGCAAACAGGAUUAGAUACCCGCGUAAU
RNAcentral lists this ribosomal RNA (449 nucleotides) under uncultured bacterium. RNAcentral describes it as "bacterial SSU rRNA". It matches the Rfam family "Bacterial small subunit ribosomal RNA", at positions 329 to 794 of the family's 1533-position model. The record is from RNAcentral.